RNAcentral lists this ribosomal RNA (253 nucleotides) under uncultured bacterium. RNAcentral describes it as "partial 16S ribosomal RNA". It matches the Rfam family "Bacterial small subunit ribosomal RNA", at positions 524 to 776 of the family's 1533-position model. The record is from RNAcentral.
UACGUAGGGGGCAAGCGUUGUCCGGAUUUAUUGGGCGUAAAGAGCGUGUAGGCGGUUCGGUAGGUCCGUUGUGAAAACUCGAGGCUCAACCUCGAGACGCCGAUGGAAACCCCCGAACUAGAGUCCGGAAGAGGAGAGUGGAAUUCCUGGUGUAGCGGUGAAAUGCGCAGAUAUCAGGAAGAACACCUAUGGCGAAGGCAGCUCUCUGGGACGGUACUGACGCUGAGACGCGAAAGCGUGGGGAGCGAACAGG